AUAUCAAUAAGCGGAGGAAAAGAAACCAACAGGGAUUGCCUCAGUAACGGCGAGUGAAGCGGCAACAGCUCAAAUUUGAAAUCUGGGUCUUUCAGGCUCCGAGUUGUAAUUUGUAGAAGAUGCUUCGGGUGUGGCUCCGGUCUAAGUUCCUUGGAACAGGACGUCAUAGAGGGUGAGAAUCCCGUACGUGACUGGUUGCCUUCGCUCAUGUGAAGCUCUUUCGACGAGUCGAGUUGUUUGGGAAUGCAGCUCAAAAUGGGUGGUAAAUUUCAUCUAAAGCUAAAUAUUGGCCAGAGACCGAUAGCGCACAAGUGGAGUGAUCGAAAGAUGAAAAGCACUUUGGAAAGAGAGUUAAACAGUACGUGAAAUUGUUGAAAGGGAAGCGCUUGCAACCAGACUUGCACGCUGCUGAUCAUCCGGGGUUCUCCCCGGUGCACUCGGUUGCGUUCAGGCCAGCAUCGGUUUGGGUGGUUGGAUAAAGGCCUUGGGAAUGUAGCUUCUUUCGGGGAGUGUUAUAGCCCUCGGUGCAAUGCAGCCUACCUGGACCGAGGACCGCGCUUCGGCUAGGAUGCUGGCGUAAUGGUUGUAAGCGA
Molecule: ribosomal RNA, 593 nt
Filed under: uncultured fungus
Lineage: Eukaryota; Fungi
Description: eukaryotic LSU rRNA
Rfam family: Eukaryotic large subunit ribosomal RNA
Source: RNAcentral